Molecule: transfer RNA, 79 nt
Filed under: Rubinisphaera sp.
Lineage: Bacteria; Pseudomonadati; Planctomycetota; Planctomycetia; Planctomycetales; Planctomycetaceae
Also listed under: 1 other name
Description: tRNA-Phe
Rfam family: tRNA
About the family: Transfer RNA (tRNA) molecules are approximately 80 nucleotides in length.
Source: RNAcentral
GGACAGGAUGUCCGAAUUCUUCUCGUUAAAUACAGGAUUGAAAAUCCUGGUGUCACGGGUUCGAUUCCCGUCCUGUCCA